AUUGAACGCUGGCGGCAGGCCUAACACAUGCAAGUCGAGCGGUAGCACAGAGAGCUUGCUCUCGGGUGACGAGCGGCGGACGGGUGAGUAAUGUCUGGGAAACUGCCUGAUGGAGGGGGAUAACUACUGGAAACGGUAGCUAAUACCGCAUAAUGUCGCAAGACCAAAGUGGGGGACCUUCGGGCCUCAUGCCAUCAGAUGUGCCCAGAUGGGAUUAGCUAGUAGGUGGGGUAACGGCUCACCUAGGCGACGAUCCCUAGCUGGUCUGAGAGGAUGACCAGCCACACUGGAACUGAGACACGGUCCAGACUCCUACGGGAGGCAGCAGUGGGGAAUAUUGCACAAUGGGCGCAAGCCUGAUGCAGCCAUGCCGCGUGUGUGAAGAAGGCCUUCGGGUUGUAAAGCACUUUCAGCGGGGAGGAAGGCGGUGAGGUUAAUAACCUCAUCGAUUGACGUUACCCGCAGAAGAAGCACCGGCUAACUCCGUGCCAGCAGCCGCGGUAAUACGGAGGGUGCAAGCGUUAAUCGGAAUUACUGGGCGUAAAGCGCACGCAGGCGGUCUGUCAAGUCGGAUGUGAAAUCCCCGGGCUCAACCUGGGAACUGCAUUCGAAACUGGCAGGCUAGAGUCUUGUAGAGGGGGGUAGAAUUCCAGGUGUAGCGGUGAAAUGCGUAGAGAUCUGGAGGAAUACCGGUGGCGAAGGCGGCCCCCUGGACAAAGACUGACGCUCAGGUGCGAAAGCGUGGGGAGCAAACAGGAUUAGAUACCCUGGUAGUCCACGCCGUAAACGAUGUCGAUUUGGAGGUUGUGCCCUUGAGGCGUGGCUUCCGGAGCUAACGCGUUAAAUCGACCGCCUGGGGAGUACGGCCGCAAGGUUAAAACUCAAAUGAAUUGACGGGGGCCCGCACAAGCGGUGGAGCAUGUGGUUUAAUUCGAUGCAACGCGAAGAACCUUACCUGGUCUUGACAUCCACAGAACUUAGCAGAGAUGCUUUGGUGCCUUCGGGAACUGUGAGACAGGUGCUGCAUGGCUGUCGUCAGCUCGUGUUGUGAAAUGUUGGGUUAAGUCCCGCAACGAGCGCAACCCUUAUCCUUUGUUGCCAGCGGUUAGGCCGGGAACUCAAAGGAGACUGCCAGUGAUAAACUGGAGGAAGGUGGGGAUGACGUCAAGUCAUCAUGGCCCUUACGACCAGGGCUACACACGUGCUACAAUGGCAUAUACAAAGAGAAGCGACCUCGCGAGAGCAAGCGGACCUCAUAAAGUAUGUCGUAGUCCGGAUUGGAGUCUGCAACUCGACUCCAUGAAGUCGGAAUCGCUAGUAAUCGUAGAUCAGAAUGCUACGGUGAAUACGUUCCCGGGCCUUGUACACACCGCCCGUCACACCAUGGGAGUGGGUUGCAAAAGAAGUAGGUAGCUUAACCUUCGGGAGGGCGCUUACCACUUUGUGAUUCAUGACUGGAGUGA
This 1463-nucleotide ribosomal RNA is filed under the name uncultured Klebsiella sp. RNAcentral describes it as "bacterial SSU rRNA". It matches the Rfam family "Bacterial small subunit ribosomal RNA". Lineage: Bacteria; Pseudomonadati; Pseudomonadota; Gammaproteobacteria; Enterobacterales; Enterobacteriaceae. The record is from RNAcentral.